AGGCAGUGUAAAGGAGUCAGAGCUUCUGUUCAUCAGAAUCCAUACGGCAGAGUCAGGGAGAUGGUUCCAGGAGAAGAAAAGAAAGUCAGUUGCUUUCUGAGAUCAGGUGGGAAGUUUAUCCUGUCAACUCCACCUUUAGAGUGCUAGUCUCUGGAGCCACAAGGACUGAAACUCUGCUUCAGAGACCCACCACUGAUGACAACCAUCAGGCUCAGGAACUGAAAAGAAAUGGUGCAAAUGUGGCCGAGGGACUUGGGUUUUACAUUUAUUGCCGAGUCUGGUUUUCUUGAGUUUCAGAUGAUAAAAUUGAAGCCCAGAGAAGCUUGGGAGCCUCAACUAUUAAUGGAAAAACCAUAACUAGAACUGAGUUUUCCUGAGACAUUUUUUACUAUUCAUUCCCCUGCUCUUGGGCCACUCCAGGGCACUGAGCACACUUGCUUUGGCUAUUUGGAGAAGAGGCCAAUAGACACAACUGGCUUCAUCUUCAGGGACACCCAAUAUCUGGCAGCCCUCAGCCCCAGCGGAGUCUUUAUUGAAAGAACUGAUUCAUAGACCAGGCGCGGUGGCUCACGCCUAUAAUC
Homo sapiens (human) is the source of this 581-nucleotide long non-coding RNA. Ensembl annotates it as long intergenic non-protein coding RNA 2551. NCBI's taxonomy places the organism in Eukaryota, Metazoa, Chordata, Mammalia, Primates, Hominidae. The record is from Ensembl.